This is a long non-coding RNA of Harpia harpyja (harpy eagle), 2495 nucleotides long. RefSeq lists it as uncharacterized. The record is from RefSeq and is a predicted model, not a curated record. NCBI's taxonomy places the organism in Eukaryota, Metazoa, Chordata, Aves, Accipitriformes, Accipitridae. The transcript has 4 exons.
AAGCGCCGGUUCCUCCGCGGCGGGACGCGCGGGGGUCGCGGCUGUCCGCUGCCUGUGCCGCCCCUUGGGCUGGGGGUGGUCUUGUGGCAAGGGAGGUGUCUCACGGUGAGCCCGGGGAAAUAGGGUAUUUCGAGUCGGGCUAAAUAGUUUGGUUUGGGAGUUUGUUUAAAGGGAAUAACUGGUCUUAUGGAAUUUUUCCUUAAACGAAAGGUGAUACCUCCUCAUCUUGCGGUGGGUGCCAGCAGAGGGGCUGCUUGUGUGUACCCAGUGGUCUGGGUGGUAUCUUCUUGGAGUUUUGACCUGUAAAAACCAGGGACGCUUUUUAAUUGCUCUCCUAGUAAAGUCCUAUAGAACGCUCAGCCAGCGCUUGUUGGGAUGGUGUGGGUUCUCUCCAUUUGUUUUAGCGGGGCAUUGUUGAGGAGUGUGCGUUAAACAUCGCUUUUGUCUUUGUAUGGAAUUAGCACGUACCUACAAGCAGAUUUCUUAGGCUGACUCAGGGGCAAUGGUUAUACAUGAAGCUGACCGAGUUCCUGUCAUAAGACAGGUGUAAGUUUGCCAGAUUUUAGGGAUGAAACUUUGUGUCAGAAAAUUUUCAAUUAAUGCAGUCAUUUGUUCAUGUACAUAGUUGUUUUUACAGAAAUAUAUGAAAAAUAUUUUGCAUAUCUUAUAUAAAGUAAAUGUGUUUUAGCUAUUUCUGAAAGCACGGGCAAACCACCCAGCUCUGUGGGGUUGUGUCUUUGUUGUAUUUUGGGGGGUUUAUCACAUCCAUCAUGCUGAGAGGUGUAUUUGCCUUUUUUCUUCAAGCAGGAGUUUCAGCAUUAACCGUCUGCACACAUCUCAUUUGGGAGUCACCUUUGGGCUAUGUAUUCCCCGAGGUUUGGUCAACUUUGUCACCUUUCGAAAAAAAGAAGUCUGUGGGCCUGCAUUUAACAUAGAGCUUCAUAAGAAAAUUCUUCAAAGAGUCCAUUUGAACAAGGCCUGAGUGUGGCUGUUCGGUAACGUCUGCCCAUGGCUGGGGUAAGCUGCUGCAUCUAAUGGCUCUGCAUUCCUUCUGGGGGGCAAAGCUUUUGACAGGAAAAAUAAAUGUGAAGCAAAGUCUUUUCUUCACAUUGAAGGACCAAUGCCAAAAGGAAUGGAGCAUUUUCACAGAAGUAAACAGAAGUUGAUGGAGGCAUGCACCAACCAAUAUAUUCUGAACUCUUGUUUCAUGGCCUAGUUAUAUAAAGAGAAAUCCUAACUUGUGUUAGAAAGGAAUGAUUCUCUGAGGAGAAAGAAAAGAGAUGCUUUCUCGGUAAGGAGGACAUAGGGCCUACUUUGAGCCUUUAUUUGUCAAGAAGAUAAAUGCAUGUCACUGAGAAGAGAUGUAAGUAUCAUCCAGCAGUCACAACUCUGUAAGUACAAAGACCUGAAAGAUGUCUUCUCCAAGGCAUGCUGAUGUAGUUGCUACUAUGGAAGGCAAAUAAAAAGUGAAUAAGGAUCAGGGACUUGUUUAUUGGUGGCUUCAUGUACACAUUCACAUUCAACAUCUCUGAUACUCAAGAGCUAUUCUAGGAACCACCCGUCUGAUUUUCAUGUUUGCUUUCUUGCACAGCUCUGGUGCUCGCUCUGUCAUAAGUGAAGGAACAGGAGAGGAAGAGGCAAGGAAAAAUGUAAAGGAAGACAGUCAGCUCAGCUGCCCGCCUUCUUGACAAAACAGCUCUACUCACUUAAGUCCCUCUAGGUAGCAGUGCAAUGGCAAUGAGAAGGGGAACAUCUACUCUUAUGUCAGUUAUUCCAAAUUACGCAGCUUAUACUAGUAACAGCAACAUAUCAGUUUAUGGGGAGGGAACUCAUAUCUGUGACAUGCCAAGGCCAACAGAGAGUUACAGGGAUGUGAUUACUGUGCAUAAUAAUCGUGCGUAAGAAGCAAGGAAAAGGCAACUGUGUGUGGAAGACAGCGGAGGACUCCUGCAGCACUGUCAAAGCCAGCGGGGCUAGAGGUGAUAUGCCGUGUAAGUGUUGUUUGUGCCAAUUUGAACCCUGAAGGGGUGAAUCUGAUUUUCCUCUCCAUUUUUUUGUUCCCCUUAGACUUCAAUAUGUCUGAGGGAAAGGGGCAUAACAUACAACUUCCAUAGCAGGUCCAAAUCUUCCUCCUUUCUGCAUUGCCUUUUGGGGAAUGAACAUUCUUGUAUACAGAUCUUCCUCUUUUUUACAGGCACAGUGUUCUUGUGAAGACAUAUGGCUGGAAGGUCCUUAUUAUUCUCACUUUCAUCCUGAAAGCAUUCCACUGUCUCAGAUAUCCAAAACUAUGAAAAACUGUGGACAUAGGAGGUCUGAAAGCCAUGUCCAGUGUAACCGAGGCCCUGCAAGCUCUACUAAUUAGUAUGGGAAAACCCAGUGAAGUAUUUCUUGUUACAUUGUAACAUAAGUGGUACAGGUUUUAGACUUCAGGAUAAUAGCAGUAGCUUAAAGAAAUUGGUACGUGUUUGUAAAUAUAAAAAGUGCAACAUAAGAUC